UCAAUUGUAGUGUAAACACUAAAAAUCUUGCUUCUUCUUUUAUUGGAAAGAACAAUGCAUUCGCUUUGCCUCUUUAUUAAUUGAUAUUAAUAUUAAUUCAUGAUCGCCGCGAAGCGGCCGCGCUUGCGACUCGGCGUCGAUCGCUAAUAAAGUUUCCUCGCACGGAAUUGGUAAACGCUCGAAACUUCACGAGGAUGGAAAAUGAAAUUACCGCGGUGGCGAUUGAUACAAGCUCGUUCGCUGUCGAUCCCGUCGUGUCGAGAAUCGAACGCGAUCGAGGCCAAAAGGAGGAGAGCGCGGGCGAGGUAUCGCGAGCGCGGCGAAUCGCGACCCUGUCUCGUUACCUUAGAAUAAUAAAUAUUAUAGUGCAAUAUCUAAAAAAUCUGUCUUUUUUAUGCAACUUAUACAUUCAAAUACAGUGUACUUGAAAAAUUUACAAUCGUUAUUGCCCUUACAAACAUUAAAUCCCUAUUCGAGCGUUGGUAAAUCCGCGAUCCCUCUCUCUGACCGCUAAAAAAGAAUGUUUGAUUUGAAGAUCAGUGUGAGUGCGUGUGAGAAUCAAAAAAGAGGUGCAGCUGCUGCUGUAAGGAUGCGAAAACCUUCGUGUUCUUUGUUAAUGUAUACAUAUAUAUAUAUACAUAUAUGUAUAUGCGUGUGUACGCGUGCAUGAGAGUACUGUUCGAAACGAGUGUACCUCGUGGUUCUCUGCGUCACGCGCGAUCGCUCGUGGUUCAAUUAUCUCGAUCGUGCGCCGUACGAGAUAUAUAUCUUGAAACGAUAAUUUUUCAUUACAUUUUUCCCCCCUCCCUGUUCCUUCGAUAUUUCUCGCCAAUGUUUCGGCACUUUUUGGUCGUGGAUACCUGUGCGGGCUACAUAUCCCUGUAUACGAUACAUAAUAUACAUAUUAUAUGUAUACGUUAUAAUACGUGUAUUAUAUAUUUCGUAAUUAUAUCUGUCGGAACGAAUAAUUCAUCGCUCGGAAGCCUUAACGGACACUCAAGUAACAUUGACGAUAAAUUACAAUGCGCGUGUGUAUGUGUUUUUUUUGCUUGUCCCUACGCGUGUAUGUGUAUGUGUGUAUGGGUGCGUGUUUGCACAUUUUAUAUACACGUACAAUUCGCUGGAUAUCCUGACAUCAACCGAACAUGAAAGUGGAACGGUAAACGCAAAUAGAGAGUCGCGCGCGCGGAAUCGUCGACUCUCGACCGCUUUUGCGCCGCCGCGCGUACAGAAGCGCAACAAAAUGAGUUCGUGUACGUGCAACGAUAUGUUCAUCGUUCAACACGAAUCCUGUCUCCCGUUUCGAAGAAGGGGAUCGAACGAAACGUUCGCCGAUGCAAAACGAAAUACGUCUCGUCGCGCGAAUGGGUUAGCUCGUCACGCGCGGUUAAGCGCAAACAAAUCGACACCGGUUUCGCGAACUGUUUGGCAAGAAUGGAAAACAUUCUCCGUAGUGGCGGAGAGGGAAUUUUUGAGCAAUAAAAGCUUAUUACAAAGAAAGAAGAAAACAAAAUAAGAGGACGCCGAUCAUCGUAACGGUUUCCACUGUAUUUUCCAUUAUACUACGCGUACGCAACAUAGGUGGAACGAACACAGCGAGAUUAGAAAAACUGCAGCGAAGACGUCAAUGCAGUUUCUAUGUUCGUUUCGCCAACUAUUUACCGUUUACUUUGUUUAUCAAAAAGAUAGUCGUUUCAAAUGAGCCUGGGAUUAUUCCGAUGAUUUAAUAUUUAGAUAUUUUUUAGGUAUUCGUAUGCUACUGAUAUACUUCGAAUAUUACUAUUUGAACAUCUUUAUUCAAGUAUCGUUAUUCAAAUAGAGAUUAAAUAAGUCUUUUUCCACGAAAAAAUUAACGGAAUUCGUGUUACAAAUAUUCCAGCAAGAGAAAAUGUAAGCACAUAAAUUUUUUUUUCUCAAAACAAAGAUGUUGCAAAGAACAGUGUUUCUCUUCGUUUGAUUUUUUAAUUUAAAACAACGUAUAAGAAGUUCAAAUUAAAUAAGAAUUUAAAACAUAUAGAGUUUAUUAUAAAACAGUCUCUAAAUAUAUUUCGAAGUAAUUUAUUCUGUUCUAAGGGGUGUACAAGAAGCUUUCAGAAACACUGUUAUAGAAUGGCGUUAAUAAAACAUCUUAAACAAAAGUAAAGUUUAAAAUAGACAGACAGAUUUUAAAAACUUGAUUUAUGGUCUACGCUGUUCGAAUAUUACGAAUAUUUUAAUAUUUGAUCAGUGUAUUUGUGUACUUGGUUAUUCGAAUUAUAUUCGCCGAAUAUUUGAAUCUCUGAAGCGUUUGAAUACAAAAAUAUUCGACUAAUCUCAGGUCUAGAUCGUUUUGUGAUCACCGUACGAUGAUUCAUCGUCCUCCCACGUAUAGCAACUAAUCAACAACUUAUCGAUUUACGUAAAAAGUAUCGACGGUACCGAUACAUAACAAAUAGAUUGCCGUGAAAAGAUUCGUUUUCGCGAGAUGAAAACACACAUCGACAGUCGUACCAAUAACGCUGACCAAUGAUCGUAAACGCUUAACAUUUUUCACCUUUCUAUCGACGUUCCAUAGCACGUCGCUAUACAUCCGCGGGAACGAUCUCCAAUGAUUAUCACAAUAAACAUUCGCUACGUCCACGGAGUAAAUUUCGACGAUGAACGGAUACUGAAACGUUGCACACGUGAUCGAAUGGAGCGCCGCUGCGAUGAGGAUCAAGAAAACGACGACGAGUGGGGGAGAGAAGCACGCGGCUGUGAUCGAGUUCCGUGAAAAAACGCUACUAUAGCAAUAAUGAACCGACGAUGUCCUUUCGAAAGAGUCUGGCCGUUCGUUAUUCCCGUUUCGACGUAGUUUCGACCGCGGUGCGCGAUCUGUACUGGCUGUCAGAUAACGGGGCGAUGCGGUAGCGGUAUCGAUGGCGAUUACAGCUGCAGUCGGUAGCGGCGAAUAGCAACGUUAGUAGCGGUAACUGGCGAUACGAAUAAUCUAGGUCUCUGGGACGUACACUCGGUGGAAGAAACGCAACCAUCGCGUAAAAAUUGCAAACCACCGAGACAACUCGAUGUAGGCUCAUCGUUUAACGUUAUAACGCUAGCUGCUCUCCCAGAGAAUCGUUGCAUUUGUUUCACCGACUGCACCGUGUCUCGUGGAAAGUGGGGGAGAGCUCCCAGGGGCCACGACGAUCAGGCGACUUCGGGAGGGCCCGUAAUCACCUGGAACAAGAUGAGCGCAACGUCCAUGGCUCCGGGGGGUUAGAGAUCGAAGGGUACAGAGCUCGGUGCACGGCGGUCCACGAUCGACGUAGUCUCGUACCAAGGAUCGUGGAUCGCCGUACACGCCAGAAAUUCGUACUCGUGGGUAAAAACGUCGAAAGUUGAGAAGGGACCUGGUGCUAACUAGAGUCUGAUAUGUAGACUGACUUUGGGCCAGGGGUGGUUACCUGCGUGUCAUUCACGGGUCUAUACGAGUUUGUCGGCUAUCGUGACGACCGGCGUGUCGAUCGAUCACGGUCGAUCGCGACAUUGGUCUUGGGAGAAAGAUCAACGCUCGGCUGCCGGGCGUCGCUGAAUCCGCGCGGCAUCGCGCUAUCAAACGAACAACUUUAAAGAUAUGUAACGUCGACUACAAGGUAUAGUGUAUUUUUUCUCUCUCCCUCUUUCUGUACCUAUCUAUUUAUUAUAUAUAUAUAUAUAUUUCUUGUAUAUAUAUAUGUAUCUCUCUCUCUCACUCACGCAGUCUCUAGGUUAAAGCACUCUCACGCCGGCUGAGACGAUCACAUGUGAACAUUCGCAAGCCUGUUCUACAUGCACUGAUGACGUAGAAUACAGCUAUAUAUAAAUUAUAUCUCUUAUACGCUUACAGUAAUUGUAUAUCGUUUAUAUAUACACAUAUGUCCGUACGUAUGUAUACGUAUGUACAACGCCACGCAUAGAACACGUCGUCCAAGAAACCGUGCUCCCGAGUCGCGUGCAAUUUCAUUCACCGUACGCGCGCAGCUCCACAAGUUUAAUAACUGGUUUGUGUCAUCCUUCUAUUGUCUUCUUUCAAACAGUACCCGAUGACCUAGCCACGACAUAAAGCCUAGACGAUCGUCCAAUCGCCUUUAUCUUCGCCAUUCGGUCCUCGGGUCAUUAUCUCAGGGAUCUUAUUAAACUUGUUCAGCCUAUGCUCGUUCAUCUCGGUCCCGUUUCUUUUCAUCGUAUACAGGGAAAAUUGUUCGCGACGGUCAACGGUCUCGAGGACGCCAAGAGCACACGCGCGACGCCGUAUGCACCGUCGACCCAUUAACAGGCGUCUCGUAUCAUUUUCCCAGCCAUGCUUGCUCGCGUUAUCGUCCAAUUUCUAAGAAAGGCUCGUUCGAUCGAUUUCUCUUCGACGGAUGCGCAUCGCCUGCCCGUUUCUUUCUUUCGCUACACGAAAAGGUUUUACAAAACGUUACCCUGGAGUAUCAUCGACCGAUCGCGGGACCACUUCUCCUCCAACUUCAUUAUAAAUAAACGUAACUCUUACUUGCUUUAAAAGUAAUCGUAUUAAGGGCCAGAUUACAAAAGAGCUGAAUCUCGUUUUUGUAUUACUAUGUAUUAUUUUAAUAAAAUGCUCGAGAACACAUUUCUAAUGAAAAAUGAAGGUUGCUAAAAUGUGUGAGGAUUCGAUCAGGUGCCCGCGAUAAUCGACUUUCAUGUCGAUACCGCGAUCAAGAACGGUACCCUAUUCAGUGCGCUGGCAGACCUCGCUCGAUUGCGUCUGCACGCGCGACACAGUUAUGCAGCCCUACGCGCACAUAUACAUACAUAUAUAUUCUUCGCAGCAACACGUUAUAAAAAGCGACGCUUCGCUCCUCAUACUCGACGAAACGUUUUGAAAGACGCAGUCGCGACGUUCCUCUACGCAUUUUUUUUCCCCCCCUCAUACAAUUACAUCUUUCUCUCUUUUUUUGUAAAAAUUUUUAUUCGCUUUUUUCUUUUAUUAUUUAUUAUUAUUAUUAUUAUUUCAUUAAGUUAAUUCUGUUCAUUGUUACAUUGCACUCUACGCUUGCUUUGUUUCUCUCCACUUUGUUCUCUCGCCUAUUUAGUAUUUCUUUCUCUCUCUCUCUCUCUCUCUCUUUACCUCUUUUUAACCGCGAUAAAAAUUUAAAAUACUCGUAUUACACGUAAGUAUUUAAGACCCUGUUUUCGUAAAGGCUUUUCAACAUAAGUCGUUAUCGGCCGAGGAAGAUAAAAAGGAAAGACGUCGGAGACGAAGAAGAGAAGGAACAGCCGAAGUAUACACACAUAGUUGUGACCGGAUCAGAUUUUGGUGCGGGUGCAUAAGGAAACGGGACGACCAUUUUUCUGUCACGUGCUUUUGUGUCCUGCGCGCGAAACAUCGACGGUUAUCGCGCGCCAACCGGAAGGGACCAAACGAAAGAACGCCGCGAGUAUGAUCAUACGCUCUGCGGAACGAUCCGCGGUAGUCGACCUCGUGUAAUUCAAUUUUAAAUGCAAUUUUCUACUCUUCCAGCACGACCAACAUGUAAACACGAUCUUUCGAUCGUGAUUCUCGAAAUUGUCAGAAUCGUCGUGCUCUACACCCGAACGUUCGUGAUAUGUUAUCGGAGACCCCUAACAAUUUCAACUGCAACGGAAGGUACUCUGGGCGUUGGGAAAAUAUGCAGUCCCCAUCGAUGGAGUCUCUUUGUCGUACCGGGGAGGUUCGCGAACCGACCAUUUUGGUCUCGAGUCUUUAAAAAAAUAGCUGCCGUCUACGGUCUACCUAAGAAAGGGGUUAAAUAUAGUAAUGCUUGUAAAUCGUACAAAAUACUCGUGGAAAUAAUUUUUUUUCGUUUUCACCGUGAUCGCCGUACUCUUCCGAUUCUUCGCGAUAUUUCUCAGUCAGGUUUGUACUCGAAUGGAGUUCGAUCAGCGCGUUUGAACUUAUAAAAGCGUCUAUCGAUCACUCACUCUUCCAGCCGUCAUAUUUAAACUUGUCUUUCUUCGUUAGCGCGAUGAUCCGCGCUUUUGUCUCUUUAAAAACGUGCAUCGCUAGCCUCGAGCUCCCAGUUGUUAUUGGUCCAAUUACAGCGUUUACUGUUGCCGUUAAAGCUUGAUAUGCAAUGGCGUACGACGAGCACUCGCGAUCCUAAGCUGCCGAUUUUUAAUCAGACUUUCAGUUCAGGGUCCUACCGCGGAUCGUCCGGCGACUCGCAACGCCGGAAGCACAUUCACCGUGUUCUCUGAGUCGAUCGUGAACAAUUUGCGUGCAACUACCGGAAGAACACGGAAUCGAAGAACAGAGGGGAAGACGUAAGGGGAUUGGAAAUCACAUCGAUGGGAGAAAAUACAUUUAGCUUGGUUUCUUUUUCGUAACGGAAGCGCGCUACCCCGUUAUCUUCGCUGGAUAACGCGUGACGACCUUUCGAAUGGAUCGCGAACGGCGACGCGAAUAAAACUGAAGCUCUGAACGUUCGUAAGGUCAGACUAAUUUUUAUAUAAUCCCUGUCUCUUGCGCCCGACAAGGGCACAUCGCUAAAUUUACGUACUAUUUGAACUGCCGUCGAAAACGUAAUUCCUUUUCUGUUCGUUCGCGAAGCCUGCAACGCCCGAAUUGCCCGCUCGAAUAGUUUGCAACGUUCUAUUUUGUAUCGCGUCGUCGGGGGGUCAACCUCUACCCUUCCCCCGUCCGCGUUCUAAACUCGGUUCUGCGGACGAAGCCGCGGGGUGACGUCAAUUUGGCACAGACGUCCGACUUUUCUUCCGGCCGUACCAGUCACGAAAAUUGGCAACAAAGCGGAUAAAACUCGAGGAACCUAAUUGAGGAUCCUCGGGGGCAAUCGACGAAGACCACUUGACCUUAUUACGGGCGGUUUUCAAGCCGCUUCGCGAGGAAUCGGCGGACUCCGCGGCGAGCACGACGAGAAAAUCGUAAGGAUCGACCGUGUCAAGUGUCUUUUGCUUCAACCUAGAAAGCAGACAUUUCGUACACGUUGCAAUCAAACGUUUCCUUCCGGUCGCUCUCGAUGCCGACUUUUCGCGACGCUCCUCGUCCAAGCUUCAUUGUUCCGCUUUCGCGCGAUACAGUCUAUGCGGUGAGAUCCGCUCCCACGGAUCCAGAAUAAUCUACAGGUGAACGAGAACGCGUUGGAUCGAGGGAUCCGGGUUUGAAAGCGCGGCAACGAGAGAGUCGAAAGCACGAACGAUCGACGGAACAGAGCAUCCCCCAUACUCGAAACAGCUGCAGCGGUGGAGGCGUAACGACGAUUUGGCACACGUGUUUAUUAUUCAGUCCGCGAAUUAUCUAAGCUUGGCACAAGGUUCGGCCGCACGCCGAACAAUUACCACGAUCCUCGUGUAUUAUCCUUUUUUUUUUAUUUUCUUUCCGUCUUUUCUCGUUCGUUUUGGCACACAUAAAGAAGAAAACAAUGAAAUACUCGCGCGCAUCCAUGCAUCUCUGCGACUCUAUUAUCCCGAGCGUACGUGUCACGCGUACUCGAAGUUCUCUUUAGCCCCUCGUAUUAUUAUCGUUUUCUUUGUAAGCACACGUUAUUUCUUCCAUUUCUAUCUCUCUCUCUCUUUCUCUCUCACACUCACGCUCUCAAUCGUUACAGAAAAAUAUGCCAUUGAGAAUCUUGGCCGGCCGCUCGAUCGCGUUCGACCCUUUGUUCCACGCGCCCUUCAGACGAGAGAUUGAAGGUCUUGCCCUUAAUACCGCGCCCCGUCGUAGUAGAGCGCGUGUUCAAUAUCCUAUAAAAACUAAGUUAUUUCUUAGCUGAUUGCCUUGCGUUACGGUAAGGUUGGGCACCCGACUAUGAUCCGUCACGAACGAGCGUUCUGCCGUCAUCGACCGCCAUUUCUCGAUACCAGAACCGACUAAUCGCACCUCUUCGAUUCCUUUUAUUCUUUCCGUACUAUCGAUCUUCCGAUAUUGAUAUUAAUACUGACGUCGGUUCUCGGGUUCACAGUUAAAGAACCUUAAGUUCCUUCGGUGUGUUCAACUCUGUGUAUUGUCGUUUCUGCUACGAAGGCAGGUUCAGUUUCAAAUGUGUGUGAUUAAUUACAACACUACACGUUACGAAUUAAAUAUAAAUUUAUAUCGAAAUGAAAUAUCAUUUGAAACUUUAUUUUUUUUAGUUUUUUUCUUCAUAUGUUUCUCGACCAUAGGGUAUUCAAAAUACCUAAUGCAAACCAUACGUUUAGAUCAUGAAACACUUUGGUACACCUUUUCUUUGCAAAUUUUGUCUCUGUUAGCAUGAUGUAGAAACUGAUUGAUAAUUGUUCCCGUACGAAUAUAUGUAUAUUGAGAUUGUUAAGCUACGAAUGUUAUUCUCCUAUGGAAACUAAAGUCGUCCACCUCGCGAUCGUGACGGAUCCUGGCCAGGACCCGCGCAGUAAGGAUAAGGCCCCUGCACUAACAGAUUGCUCUACGCCACAACGAUACGAUCGUGUUUUAAUCGACGUUGACGCGCGCAACGUCCUCGCUUUUCAAUAAACCUCGUUCGAGGGCAAAUGACGAGACAAAAUGGGGGAGGGUGGAACGAUCAGAUCGAUCGACGUUUCCAGUACGGCUACGGGGGAGCAAAAAAUGGUCGACACACGGAUACCAUUCUUCGUCUUCCUCGAAUCGAGCUACUCGUAGUUUGCGCUCGAACAUCGCUAGAGCUCGUAUGUUGUGUAUAUUCCGAUGUGAAAAAAGGCGGGAAGGGGUCGCGGAUACACGCGCGCUGUCGAUCGUCUCUACCGUGUACCCGUUCGAAGAUCAGGUUUACGUUUUCAACUUCGUGAACGAUCGUCGAAGUGAUCGAGAUUCUUUCAGGGUACAAAGGUCGUCAAAUGAGCCCUGGAUAACGUUGUACCGGAAUAUAUACCAGCGUACAAAGUUUCGUGUCCUUUCAAGUCCUGGAUCCAGAUCGUUUUAAGCACUGGAAGACUUUGUACCAGCGUGUAUAUCGGCGUACAAGGCUUCAGGUCGUUCAAAAUUGCUUUGUACCAGCAUCUACACUCGUACACGAAGUUUCUUUCGAAUUCUGGAUAAGGUUGCGCCACCGAAAGAAAGCUAUGGAGAUUCCAGAUUCCCGGGUACAAGCUACCCCGAAGCGUUUCUUUCUUUUCCAUUUCGCGACACGUCGCAUGUAUCGCACCCCUUUUCGUCAGCCGAUCCUUCUGACGCGGCUCCCUCUCACCGUUAAUACGAAAAUUACACUCGGUAGACGAUACCUUAGCGGCUACUAGACACUACGAAGACUCGACUGAUUGAAGGUAUCUACACGAUAGAGAUGUCCCGAAGAAGUAUACAAUUAAUCGAUCAUCUAUUUGAGAAUGACAAUACACGCCGAAUAAAUAUGAGCUUGCUUAUCGGAGCAAAAGAGAGGUUAAUUAUUCGUAGCCUAGUCAUAUGUGUCACUGGAUAUGCUUCUGGAGUAUAUCGGGACGCGACGAUGGUUUCUGGUCGCGCGGGAGGGGAAACAAAAGCGAGGGGGGUGGGUCGAGGGACGAAUACGGGGAAACCAUCGCGGGCCUCGGGGUACGAUGGGAUUGAAUUUGAUCGAAGCUCGGUGGACAGUGACAACAUUUCGCGAGCUCGAGAAUAUAGACACCCGCGACAACAGACGAGAAUAAACGAAAAAUGCUCGACACCGACCACCGUUCUCCAUGCGGGACACGGUCGAAAUCAAAGUUACCGGGAGAUUAUGGAGAUUCAGGGGUUAGUUCUUGAUCCGUUUCGUCCAUUUCGCCGCGACGAAACUGUGAUUCGCGCAGAAAGAUGUGACGGCGCUCUCCCCUGUCGAUUCACCAUUCAAUUCAAUUCACCUUUCGGUGCACCGGUAUGAACGAAAGUUUACAAGCGGUCACAGCACCGAAAGGGACACCGAGACAUUUUAAUCUUUUUUUUUUUUAGUCCAAGGUAGAUCUUAUUUUCUUCGUCCUUGAUUACUGAUCCAAGAUGGCGAGUCGAGCGAGGAGAGCACAAUGUGGUGUACGUGUGUGUGUGUGUUUGUGUUUAUCUACGUAAACGCGCGCGGCAAUCGCCUCCUGAUUGAUCUCCUUCAUCCUUGAAUCGAUCGAUCCGUUUCCACGGAUCUAUAGCAGACUCGCGUAAUGCCUCUCGACGAUCGAGGAGGAUUACACGCACGCGCGCACGUACUUGAUUCGCCGUUUGGGGAAAACGAAAACGAAAAGCUUCUUAAAUCUCCCCUGAACGCGUUCGCUUUUUAUUUGUUUUUUUUUCCUGUUUUUUGUUUCAUCGUUUCUCUCGAUCUCUGGCACACAGUGUCUUGUUUCUCUGUACGUCCGUCGUUUAACUUCCGUUCUUCUCAAUCUCUCUUGGCACACGCGCACAAACACACACACACACGGAUGCAUACAUGCAAUAUGUUCGCGGUACCGCGCAAACCACAUGCUUUUUUUUCCCUUCCUUUUCUCUUGCGAUGCGCCUUAAAAAUUGUCCUUAACUACUUACUAAUUAUCGAUUCUAAUCACAGCAAUUAUUUAUUGUUGAUAUACACAAUCAUACAGCGUCUCUCACUAAUUAUUUCGAUAUAACUUACGUGUGUGAGUGUGUGUUACUUUUUUGUAUUUUUUUUUUUUUGUUAUCAUAGCAGAGGCUAUAAACUUUUCUCGCUCGAACGACGAUGCCGUCGUUUAGUUGUCGGUGACCGUCGCACCGUCUACGUUCUCUUUUUUCUCUUUUCUAUUUUUACGUGUAUUUCUCGGUACAUCGUCAUCGUACGUUCGACGAUAUAUAGAGAACGGAGUGGAGGGUGGGAGUGGGGGGUGGGGGAUCAAAGGGCUGCGAAUGAAGAACGGGACGCCGAAGGGCGUUGAGAUGAUGGUUGAUGAUGAAGACGAAGAGGACAACGUGAAGAUCCUGCGGGUGGUGUUUGGGUGGGGGUGGGGGAGUGUGAUAGUUUUUUUAAGUCUUUUUUUCCUUUUGUUUCAUUUUUUUGGUUGGCCGUGGCUCUUGGAUAGGUGAGAAAAGAGACAAAUGCUUCGUCGAAUAAACACGCCAAUGCAUACAAUUUUUCAUCGUCGCAACCAUUAAAAAUUAUCAUAAAUAAUAACAGUACAAAUAAGUUAAUACUUAACUUAGCGUAUAUAUAUAAUAUAUAUAUAUAUAUGUAUAUAAAAAAACGAAUAUGUCUCUAUUUCGCUCAGUGUAUCUAGCAAUUCGUAAAAAAAAAACACACUAGAUAAUUAUACGUAUAUAUAGGAAUAGAAACGCAACGUUUCUACGUAUAUAAAUAUACUUCCAUUAUUUUUUUUUUUCUUUUUCUCGCGAAAUAGGCAUCGUCUUUCAUUUCGAUUGAAAGCUCAUCCGGGCAAAUUGACGAAGCAACCGAUUGCGUGAUAAAACGAUAAUUAAAAUUGCACGAUCGAGAAACGCGCGAUAAAUAGAUACGCGAAUGAAUGUUCGCUGAUCGACAAUGAGACGAUUUCACUCUAAAAAACAGAGAACAAAAAGAUCCGAGAUGAAUCAAUAAAUAUGUACAACGAGAAACGAUAUAUAUAUUUACAAGAUCGAAUCGCGUAAAAGAUUGCGAUAAUUUUGAGCGAACUUAACAAGACGAAGCGUCGAUCACAGUGGUGCUAUUGAGAUUGAACGUGACGCCAUAUUGCACGCUUCGUCUUAAAAAAAAAAAAAAUUAAGAAAGAAAAGAAACAGUAAUAAUAAAGUAA
Colletes gigas is the source of this 11631-nucleotide long non-coding RNA. RefSeq lists it as uncharacterized. NCBI's taxonomy places the organism in Eukaryota, Metazoa, Arthropoda, Insecta, Hymenoptera, Colletidae. The transcript is spliced from 2 exons. The record is from RefSeq and is a predicted model, not a curated record.